This is a long non-coding RNA of Ruditapes philippinarum (Manila clam), 607 nucleotides long. RefSeq lists it as uncharacterized. The transcript has 3 exons. Lineage: Eukaryota; Metazoa; Mollusca; Bivalvia; Venerida; Veneridae. The record is from RefSeq and is a predicted model, not a curated record.
AAAAAUAAUUAUUGUUAAAUGUAAAGAUAAUCUUUUCGAAAUUUUUAAUCAGUUAAUAUAACUGUUAUUCUACAAAUAAUAUUAAAGUGACAUAAGGUAAAUAUUAUAGCUUUAUAAGUUUUUCAAUAAAUAUUAAAUUUCCUUUAUUUCAUCAUAAAAAAAAGAAAAAAAAGUUAAUUUCUAGAGAUCAAGAAAACAUAAAAAACAAACAAAUAAGUUAACAAUUUUCAAAGAACAAAUUAUUUUAAGAAUAUUAAUUAGAAAAACUUUAAGGUAUAAAAUUUAACAGAAUUAUAUGUAUGAUAAGAGUAGAAAAGAUAUUUAUAUACGAAAAAGUUUAAAAAAUAUUAUAAACAAUUGAUAAUUGAUAAAAUGUCCAGGUGUUUUAUUUCCUGUAAAACGUGUAUUGUGCAUGCGCAUUGAUCACUUCCUGUGACAGGUAUAUUUUUUUGUAACAGGUACUUGCUGACAUCAGUAUGGCUUGGUCUUCGUGACGUGUCGGGAAUUUCAAAUCGUUGAUAUUUGAACAACAAGACAACUGUCAUAAAAUGCAUAGGAUAAGAAUUCCAAUGAAAGAUGUUCUCUAGUGUACUUCGUUGUGUCCCGC